AGUGAACGCUGGCGGUAGGCCUAACACAUGCAAGUCGAACGGCAGCACAGUAAGAGCUUGCUCUUACGGGUGGCGAGUGGCGGACGGGUGAGGAAUACAUCGGAAUCUACUUUUUCGUGGGGGAUAACGUAGGGAAACUUACGCUAAUACCGCAUACGACCUACGGGUGAAAGCAGGGGAUCUUCGGACCUUGCGCGAUUGAAUGAGCCGAUGUCGGAUUAGCUAGUUGGCGGGGUAAAGGCCCACCAAGGCGACGAUCCGUAGCUGGUCUGAGAGGAUGAUCAGCCACACUGGAACUGAGACACGGUCCAGACUCCUAAGGGAGGCAGCAGUGGGGAAUAUUGGACAAUGGGCGCAAGCCUGAUCCAGCCAUACCGCGUGAGUGAAGAAGGCCUUCGGAUUGUAAAGCCCUUUUGUUGGGAAAGAAAAGCAGCAGGUUAAUACCCCGCUGUUCUGACGGUACCCAAAGAAUAAGCACCGGCUAACUUCGUG
RNAcentral lists this ribosomal RNA (492 nucleotides) under uncultured bacterium. RNAcentral describes it as "partial 16S ribosomal RNA". It matches the Rfam family "Bacterial small subunit ribosomal RNA", at positions 29 to 507 of the family's 1533-position model. The record is from RNAcentral.